AAUAAAUCUAAUAAUAAUAGAAUUUUAGAAAACUAACUUCCUAAUUCUAGGAUGACACUAAUUCCUAAAUGGAUUUUGAAUCUUCCAAUACUGUAUCAACUAGUUGACAAAACGUUGUUUACACAAUAAAUUUUUUACUUUUGAAUGCUUUGUUCAAAAUCUUUACUGCUGCUUGAUGCCACAAAGAAUACCUGCUGUGAUCAUACCUGUAUCUUCUGCUCUGUUAUAUGACUUACUCCUAUGUGUUUUACA
RNAcentral lists this unclassified non-coding RNA (252 nucleotides) under Hevea brasiliensis (rubber tree). The record is from RNAcentral. Lineage: Eukaryota; Viridiplantae; Streptophyta; Magnoliopsida; Malpighiales; Euphorbiaceae.